RNAcentral lists this ribosomal RNA (480 nucleotides) under uncultured bacterium. Its description in RNAcentral is "SSU rRNA". It matches the Rfam family "Bacterial small subunit ribosomal RNA", at positions 26 to 518 of the family's 1533-position model. The record is from RNAcentral.
AGGAUAAACGCUGGCGGCGUGCCUAACACAUGCAAGUCGAACGCGCUUGCUAUCCGCGAGGACGGUGAGCGAGUGGCGGACGGGUGAGGAACACGUGGGUGACCUACCUUUCAGUGAGGGAUACCGGCGAGAAAUUGCCGACAAGACCGCAUACGCUUCUCUUUUCAAGGGGAGAAGGAAAGCUUUUCGCAAGAGAGGCGCUGGGAGAUGGGCCUGCGGCCGAUUAGCUAGCUGGUGGGGUAAUGGCCUACCAGGGCGACGAUCGGUAGCUGGUCUGAGAGGACGAUCAGCCACACUGGGAUUGAGAACGGCCCAGACUCCUACGGGGGGCAGCAGUGAGGAAUUUUCGGCAAUGGGGGCAACCCUGACCGAGCAACGCCGCGUGCAGGACGACGGCCUUCGGUUGUAAACUGCUUUUCUCUGGGACGAGCAAGGACGGUACCAGAGGAGAAGCCCGGCUAACUACGUGCCAGCAGCCGC